RNAcentral lists this non-coding RNA (804 nucleotides) under Aeolothrips indicus. The record is from RNAcentral. Lineage: Eukaryota; Metazoa; Arthropoda; Insecta; Thysanoptera; Aeolothripidae.
UCACAGCUUAAUUCUGGCUGAACAAAAUUUUUGCAAAAAUGCUUCAUAUGGGAAUUUAAAUUUAUAAUCAGAAACCAGUGCUUUAUAUUCUCUAAUUAUUUAUAAAAGAACAAUUUUUAAUAGUGCUGGUCAAUAGGUGUGCCAGCAACCGCGGUUACACAUCAUGGCACAAAAAAUUUUACAUCGGAUAAACUUUAGUUAAAUAUAGACUAGAAUAUUCAAGUUAGAUUUAAAGGUGUAAUUUAGUAUAAUCUUCGAUAAAUUCUAUAUAUAAUUGAACCUAAAAAAAAUUUUAUUGCCCUUAACUAAAUUAUUUAUAAUUUAGUUUAAUUUUACUUAUAUAUAAGAGGAUUAGACACCCUAUUAAGAGAUUUAAAUACCAAAUCCAGAGUACUAACAGACCUACACCUCUAAACUCAAAGAAGAUGGCGGCUUUAGAAAUUAUAUUAGAGGGUCUUGUUUUUUUAAAAAGAUUCUACACAAAAAACCUUACUUUUUUUAAGGUUUUCAUACCGCCGUUUUCAAUUAAUAUGAUAACAUUUAAGUAUGCAAGCUAAUGUCUCAAAUGGAAAAAUUCAGGUCUAGGCGAAGCAAUAAAAAAGGAAGAAUGAGACUCAUUGAAAUUAAUGGUGUGAGUGAACUAAUUUAAAAAAUUACUAUUUCCAAAGAGAAUUUAAAAGUAAUAUUUCAUUAGAAAGGAAGUAUGAAUUUAAAAUAUAAAGUGUACAAAUUGCCCGUCAACCUCAAUAAAAUUGGGGUAAGUCGUAACAAAGUAGGUGUAUCGGAAGCUGUACCUAGACUUCA